UACGGAGGGUGCAAGCGUUAUCCGGAAUCACUGGGUUUAAAGGGUGCGCAGGCGGCCGUGCCAGUCAGGAGUGAAAGCCCCCCGCUUAACGGGGGAACUGCUCUUGAUACUGUGCGGCUCGGAUCAGGAUGAGGUCGGCGGAAUGUGUCAUGUAGCGGUGAAAUGCUUAGAUAUGACAUGGAACACCAAUUGCGUAGGCAGCCGGCUGGACCUGCAUCGACGCUGAGGCACGAAAGCGUGGGGAGCGAACAGG
RNAcentral lists this ribosomal RNA (253 nucleotides) under uncultured bacterium. RNAcentral's name for it is "partial 16S ribosomal RNA". It matches the Rfam family "Bacterial small subunit ribosomal RNA", at positions 524 to 776 of the family's 1533-position model. The record is from RNAcentral.